UCGUUCAUGUCUGAGGAGGCAAUGGUGAUCAAGGAGCAGGAGGAUACGGUGUAAGAUGCGGUGGUGAAGAAUAUCACCUCUUCGAUCACUUCCGUCUACUUGGUGACAAACAGGACGCGAUCGGUUCGCUAACGUUCGCUAAGUCGUAAGAAAAACUCGUCGCUCAGCAGCAGCAGCGAGGAGAAUGUUUCCUCUCAAUAAUCGGGUAGGUCGGUGAUGAAAGAUGUUACUUUCACAAAGCGUAGUGAAAAGUUGGAUAGCAGCGCUGGAAACAGUGUCGAGUCGCCGGGUGUGAAGUACGCUGAAGAAAAUGACGCAGAUAACCUCUUGUGCCUUGUAACGAGCAGUCUGUGGCUAGGUCAGACUGCAUUAGCUUAACCAUGCUCGCAUCGUAGUUUGCGCUUGCAUUCUCGAGAUGGGUAUUCAGGCUGGACUGAUCGAUCUUACUUGUCCUGCGGCACCGAUAGAACGUAGCCCAAUUGCCCUCUGGCAUACGAUCCAGUGGAAAAAGUGUUCUAUGAAGCUACACGACGGAGUAAUUUCGCUGCACUGUCAUGGUACUCCUGCAGAGCAUCAGCAAUGACUGGACUGAAAUGUCCCACCUGCGUCUCGGUCUGCGAAUAACAUAUUUCCACAUCUCUCUCGAUUCAGCCGUUUGCACUGUACCAAAAACAACAUUGUGGUUCGAAGAUAAACAGAGAUGCGACUCUAAUUUUCUCGACCAGAAGGCGGAUUAAACAGCGAGUGGAUCAGCAGUAUGAAAGCCAACAACACGUUUACCCAGGGCCAAGCAAGAUUGUGAUGAGGCAGUUUAUCGAUUAUGUGUUAUUUGCAACCGUCCAGCAGGUUUCAACAACAAAUGCCGGAAGGUUUCUGCAUUGCUCGUAUUGACCGUGGUGGAGCGUUUGCUGCUUGUAGAGGCUAUGAUUUCGGAAACGAGACAGGACAUACAAGCCAAAAUAAUGCUGGAAAGCCAGGGUAGGCCAAUAUUUCCAUUGACUGUAUCGACGAGGGAUGAACUUUAUGCAAUGAUGAUGCAGACGCUCUGUUCGCCGCAAGAUGCAGCUAACCCUAUGAUACAGGACGAGCAGCAAGCUAGGAAGCAGGUUUACUCCAUGGUAGCUCGAUAAAUGCAGUGUUUGCGAUUUUGUUGCAUUCGAGUUCAUCGGGGAAGAUUAUCCUGUUUGCAAGCAAGACGGUUUUUGGAACACGAGAAGAAACGAUUCCAGAAAAACUGCUGAGAUUGUUAAAAUAAAUCCUCUGUUUGAAUUCGA
Molecule: RNA transcript, 1274 nt
Organism: Anopheles coustani
Lineage: Eukaryota; Metazoa; Arthropoda; Insecta; Diptera; Culicidae
Exons: 3
Source: RefSeq, a predicted model, not a curated record